GACGAACGCUGGCGGCGUGCUUAACACAUGCAAGUCGAACGGAAAGGCCCUGCUUUUGUGGGGUGCUCGAGUGGCGAACGGGUGAGUAACACGUGUGUAACCUGCCCCUGACUUUGGGAUAACUUUAGGAAACUGGGGCUAAUAUCGGAUAGGAUCUCCUGCUGCAUGGUGGGGGUUGGAAAGAUUCGGCGGUGGGGGAUGGACUCGCGGCUUAUCCGCUUGUUGGUGGGGUAGGGGCUUACCAAGGGUUCGACGGGUAGGCGGCCUGAGAGGGUGACCGGCCACAUUGGGACUACGGUACGGCGCAGACUCCUACGUGAGGCAGCAGUGGGGAAUAUUACGCAAUGGGCGGGAGCCUGAUACGGCAGCGCCGCGUGCGGGAUGGCGGCCUUCGGGUUGUGAACCGCUUUCGACUGUGACGAAGCGAGCGUGACGGUAAUGGGUAAAAAAGCACCGGCUAACUACGUG
This 468-nucleotide ribosomal RNA is filed under the name uncultured bacterium. Its description in RNAcentral is "partial 16S ribosomal RNA". It matches the Rfam family "Bacterial small subunit ribosomal RNA", at positions 28 to 507 of the family's 1533-position model. The record is from RNAcentral.